GACGAAGUCGUAACAAGGUAGCUGUACCGGAAGGUGCGGCUGGAUCACCUCCUUUUUAGGGAG
RNAcentral lists this ribosomal RNA (63 nucleotides) under Chloroflexota bacterium. RNAcentral describes it as "Chloroflexi bacterium partial 16S ribosomal RNA". The stretch from base 1 to 55 matches the Rfam family "Bacterial small subunit ribosomal RNA", at positions 1479 to 1533 of the family's 1533-position model. The record is from RNAcentral. Lineage: Bacteria; Bacillati; Chloroflexota.